AUUGAACGCUGGCGGCAUGCCUUACACAUGCAAGUCGAACGGCAGCACGGACUUCGGUCUGGUGGCGAGUGGCGAACGGGUGAGUAAUGUAUCGGAACGUACCUUUCAGUGGGGGAUAACGUAGCGAAAGUUACGCUAAUACCGCAUAUUCUGUGAGCAGGAAAGCAGGGGAUCGCAAGACCUUGCGCUGAUUGAGCGGCCGAUAUCAGAUUAGCUAGUUGGUGAGGUAAAGGCUCACCAAAGGCGACGAUCUGUAGCGGGUCUGAGAGGAUGAUCCGCCACACUGGAACUGAGACACGGUCCAGACUCCUACGGAGGCAGCAGUGGGGAAUUUUGGACAAUGGGGCAACCCUGAUCCAGCCAUGCCGCGUGAGUGAAGAAGG
RNAcentral lists this ribosomal RNA (383 nucleotides) under uncultured bacterium. RNAcentral describes it as "bacterial SSU rRNA". It matches the Rfam family "Bacterial small subunit ribosomal RNA", at positions 30 to 414 of the family's 1533-position model. The record is from RNAcentral.